UGUGAAGGAAAGGUGAAAAGGACCCCGGGAGGGGAGUGAAAGAGAACCUGAAACCUUGUGCUUACAAGCACUCAAAGCACGUUAAAGUGUGAUGAGGUACUUUUUGUAGAACGGUCCGGCGAGUUAUAGUAACGAGCAAGCUUAAGGUAUUCAGUACCGGAGGCGAAGCGAGAGCGAGUCUGAAUAGGGCGCAUAAAGUUCGUUGCCAUAGACCCGAAACCGGGUGACCUAACCAUGAGCAGGCUGAAGUGAGAGUAAAAUCUCAUGGAGGGCCGAACGCACGUUCGUUGCAAUGACCGGCGAUGACUUGUGGUUAGCGGAGAAAUUCCAAUCGAACUCGGAGAUAGCUGGUUCUCCCCGAAAUAGCUUUAGGGCUAGCGUUAUCUUAGAUUACCGGAGGUAAAGCACUGAAUGGGCUAGGGGGCGAUAAGCUUACUGAACCCUAUCAAACUCUGAAUGCCGGAUAAUUGAUGGAUAGCAGUCAGACAGUGUGAGAUAAGUUUCAUUGUCAAAAGGGAAACAGCCCAGACCCACAGCUAAGGUCCCAAAUGUAUGCUAAGUGGAAAACGAUGUGGAGUUGCGAAAACAACCAGGAUGUUGGCUUAGAAGCAGCCACUCAUUAAAAGAGUGCGUAAUAGCUCACUGGUCGAGUGACUCUGCGCGGAAAAUGUAACGGGGCUAAGUAUACAACCGAAGCUUGGGAUUGUCUAAAGACAGUGGUAGGGGAGCGUCGUGUAUGGGGUGAAGUCGCAUCGGAAGGAGCGGUGGACUGUACACGAGUGAGAAUGCCGGAAUGAGUAGCGAGAAUUAUGUGGGAAUCAUAAUGGCCGAAAAUCUAAGGUUUCUUGGGGAAGGUUCGUCCGCCCAAGGUAAGCCGGGAGCUAAGGCGAGGCCGCAAGGCGUAGUCGAUGCACAUACGGUAGAAAUUCCGUAGCCACCGAACCUUAAACCGGAAGGACACUUUCAGAUAGCAGAACCCAGCCGUUGGUAGAGCUGGGCGAAAGGGACUGAAAUAUAGUAGGGAAGUCUGCGAUGCUGAGAGGCGAGAAAAGCUCCGGUGUAUGCUAAGGUGCCCGUACCGCAAACCGACACAGGUAGAUGAGGAGAGAAUCCUAAGGCCAACGGGAGAAGGGUUGUUAAGGAACUCGGCAAAUUGACCCCGUAACUUCGGAAGAAGGGGAGCCCCGAAAGGGGCCGCAGUGAAUAGGCCCAAGCAACUGUUUACCAAAAACACAGGUUUAUGCUAAAUCGAAAGAUGACGUAUAUGAGCUGACGCCUGCCCGGUGCCGGAAGGUUAAGAGGAGAUGUCAACCUUAAGGUGAAGCAUUGAAUUGAAGCCCCGGUAAACGGCGGCCGUAACUAUAACGGUCCUAAGGUAGCGAAAUUCCUUGUCAGGUAAGUUCUGACCCGCACGAAUGGCGUAAUGAUUUGGGCACUGUCUCAACAGCCCGCCCGGCGAAAUUGUAGUACUGGUGAAGAUGCCAGUUACCCGCAACUAGACGGGAAGACCCCAUGGAGCUUUACUGCAGUUUAAUACUGGGAAUCGGUAAUGCAUGUACAGGAUAGGUGGGAGACUUGGAAGCAUAGUCGUCAGGCUAUGUGGAGUCACCGGUGGGAUACCACUCUUGUAUUGCUGGUUUCCUAACCUGCGGCCGUGAAUCCGGUCGGGGGACACUGUUAGACGGGCAGUUUGACUGGGGCGGUCGCCUCCAAAAGAGUAACGGAGGCGCUCAAAGGUUCGUUCAGCACGGACGGAAAUCGUGCAUUGAGUGUAAACGCAUAAACGAGCCUAACUGCGAGACCGACGGGUCGAGCAGUAACGAAAGUUGGAGUUAGUGAUCCGGUGGUAUGUGAGUGGAAAUGCCAUCGCUCAACGGAUAAAAGCUACCCUGGGGAUAACAGGCUGAUCUCCCCCAAGAGUCCACAUCGACGGGGAGGUUUGGCACCUCGAUGUCGGCUCAUCGCAUCCUGGGGCUGUAUUCGGUCCCAAGGGUUUGGCUGUUCGCCAAUUAAAGCGG
RNAcentral lists this ribosomal RNA (2018 nucleotides) under human gut metagenome. RNAcentral describes it as "bacterial LSU rRNA". It matches the Rfam family "Bacterial large subunit ribosomal RNA", at positions 502 to 2596 of the family's 2925-position model. The record is from RNAcentral.